ACCUACGGGGGGCAGCAGUGGGGAAUAUUGCACAAUGGGGGAAACCCUGAUGCAGCGACGCCGCGUGAGCGAAGAAGUAUUUCGGUAUGUAAAGCCCUAUCAGCAGGGAAGAAAAUGACGGUACCUGAGUAAGAAGCUCCGGCUAAAUACGUGCCAGCAGCCGCGGUAAUACGUAUGGGGCAAGCGUUAUCCGGAUUUACUGGGUGUGAAGGGAGCGCAGACGGCAGUGCAAGUCUGGAGUGAAAGCCCGGGGCCCAACCCCGGAACUGCUCUGGAAACUGUGCGGCUAGAGUACUGGAGGGGCA
This 305-nucleotide ribosomal RNA is filed under the name uncultured bacterium. RNAcentral's name for it is "bacterial SSU rRNA". It matches the Rfam family "Bacterial small subunit ribosomal RNA", at positions 337 to 659 of the family's 1533-position model. The record is from RNAcentral.